This 2794-nucleotide ribosomal RNA is filed under the name Staphylococcus aureus VET1843R. Its description in RNAcentral is "bacterial LSU rRNA". It matches the Rfam family "Bacterial large subunit ribosomal RNA". Lineage: Bacteria; Bacillati; Bacillota; Bacilli; Caryophanales; Staphylococcaceae. The record is from RNAcentral.
UUAAGUUAUUAAGGGCGCACGGUGGAUGCCUUGGCACUAGAAGCCGAUGAAGGACGUUACUAACGACGAUAUGCUUUGGGGAGCUGUAAGUAAGCUUUGAUCCAGAGAUUUCCGAAUGGGGAAACCCAGCAUGAGUUAUGUCAUGUUAUCGAUAUGUGAAUACAUAGCAUAUCAGAAGGCACACCCGGAGAACUGAAACAUCUUAGUACCCGGAGGAAGAGAAAGAAAAUUCGAUUCCCUUAGUAGCGGCGAGCGAAACGGGAAGAGCCCAAACCAACAAGCUUGCUUGUUGGGGUUGUAGGACACUCUAUACGGAGUUACAAAGGACGACAUUAGACGAAUCAUCUGGAAAGAUGAAUCAAAGAAGGUAAUAAUCCUGUAGUCGAAAAUGUUGUCUCUCUUGAGUGGAUCCUGAGUACGACGGAGCACGUGAAAUUCCGUCGGAAUCUGGGAGGACCAUCUCCUAAGGCUAAAUACUCUCUAGUGACCGAUAGUGAACCAGUACCGUGAGGGAAAGGUGAAAAGCACCCCGGAAGGGGAGUGAAAUAGAACCUGAAACCGUGUGCUUACAAGUAGUCAGAGCCCGUUAAUGGGUGAUGGCGUGCCUUUUGUAGAAUGAACCGGCGAGUUACGAUUUGAUGCAAGGUUAAGCAGUAAAUGUGGAGCCGUAGCGAAAGCGAGUCUGAAUAGGGCGUUUAGUAUUUGGUCGUAGACCCGAAACCAGGUGAUCUACCCUUGGUCAGGUUGAAGUUCAGGUAACACUGAAUGGAGGACCGAACCGACUUACGUUGAAAAGUGAGCGGAUGAACUGAGGGUAGCGGAGAAAUUCCAAUCGAACCUGGAGAUAGCUGGUUCUCUCCGAAAUAGCUUUAGGGCUAGCCUCAAGUGAUGAUUAUUGGAGGUAGAGCACUGUUUGGACGAGGGGCCCCUCUCGGGUUACCGAAUUCAGACAAACUCCGAAUGCCAAUUAAUUUAACUUGGGAGUCAGAACAUGGGUGAUAAGGUCCGUGUUCGAAAGGGAAACAGCCCAGACCACCAGCUAAGGUCCCAAAAUAUAUGUUAAGUGGAAAAGGAUGUGGCGUUGCCCAGACAACUAGGAUGUUGGCUUAGAAGCAGCCAUCAUUUAAAGAGUGCGUAAUAGCUCACUAGUCGAGUGACACUGCGCCGAAAAUGUACCGGGGCUAAACAUAUUACCGAAGCUGUGGAUUGUCCUUUGGACAAUGGUAGGAGAGCGUUCUAAGGGCGUUGAAGCAUGAUCGUAAGGACAUGUGGAGCGCUUAGAAGUGAGAAUGCCGGUGUGAGUAGCGAAAGACGGGUGAGAAUCCCGUCCACCGAUUGACUAAGGUUUCCAGAGGAAGGCUCGUCCGCUCUGGGUUAGUCGGGUCCUAAGCUGAGGCCGACAGGCGUAGGCGAUGGAUAACAGGUUGAUAUUCCUGUACCACCUAUAAUCGUUUUAAUCGAUGGGGGGACGCAGUAGGAUAGGCGAAGCGUGCGAUUGGAUUGCACGUCUAAGCAGUAAGGCUGAGUAUUAGGCAAAUCCGGUACUCGUUAAGGCUGAGCUGUGAUGGGGAGAAGACAUUGUGUCUUCGAGUCGUUGAUUUCACACUGCCGAGAAAAGCCUCUAGAUAGAAAAUAGGUGCCCGUACCGCAAACCGACACAGGUAGUCAAGAUGAGAAUUCUAAGGUGAGCGAGCGAACUCUCGUUAAGGAACUCGGCAAAAUGACCCCGUAACUUCGGGAGAAGGGGUGCUCUUUAGGGUUAACGCCCAGAAGAGCCGCAGUGAAUAGGCCCAAGCGACUGUUUAUCAAAAACACAGGUCUCUGCUAAACCGUAAGGUGAUGUAUAGGGGCUGACGCCUGCCCGGUGCUGGAAGGUUAAGAGGAGUGGUUAGCUUCUGCGAAGCUACGAAUCGAAGCCCCAGUAAACGGCGGCCGUAACUAUAACGGUCCUAAGGUAGCGAAAUUCCUUGUCGGGUAAGUUCCGACCCGCACGAAAGGCGUAACGAUUUGGGCACUGUCUCAACGAGAGACUCGGUGAAAUCAUAGUACCUGUGAAGAUGCAGGUUACCCGCGACAGGACGGAAAGACCCCGUGGAGCUUUACUGUAGCCUGAUAUUGAAAUUCGGCACAGCUUGUACAGGAUAGGUAGGAGCCUUUGAAACGUGAGCGCUAGCUUACGUGGAGGCGCUGGUGGGAUACUACCCUAGCUGUGUUGGCUUUCUAACCCGCACCACUUAUCGUGGUGGGAGACAGUGUCAGGCGGGCAGUUUGACUGGGGCGGUCGCCUCCUAAAAGGUAACGGAGGCGCUCAAAGGUUCCCUCAGAAUGGUUGGAAAUCAUUCAUAGAGUGUAAAGGCAUAAGGGAGCUUGACUGCGAGACCUACAAGUCGAGCAGGGUCGAAAGACGGACUUAGUGAUCCGGUGGUUCCGCAUGGAAGGGCCAUCGCUCAACGGAUAAAAGCUACCCCGGGGAUAACAGGCUUAUCUCCCCCAAGAGUUCACAUCGACGGGGAGGUUUGGCACCUCGAUGUCGGCUCAUCGCAUCCUGGGGCUGUAGUCGGUCCCAAGGGUUGGGCUGUUCGCCCAUUAAAGCGGUACGCGAGCUGGGUUCAGAACGUCGUGAGACAGUUCGGUCCCUAUCCGUCGUGGGCGUAGGAAAUUUGAGAGGAGCUGUCCUUAGUACGAGAGGACCGGGAUGUACAUACCUCUGGUGUACCAGUUGUCGUGCCAACGGCAUAGCUGGGUAGCUAUGUGUGGACGGGAUAAGUGCUGAAAGCAUCUAAGCAUGAAGCCC